RNAcentral lists this ribosomal RNA (669 nucleotides) under Trebouxia sp. A204. RNAcentral's name for it is "eukaryotic LSU rRNA". The stretch from base 279 to 432 matches the Rfam family "5.8S ribosomal RNA". Lineage: Eukaryota; Viridiplantae; Chlorophyta; Trebouxiophyceae; Trebouxiales; Trebouxiaceae. The record is from RNAcentral.
GGAUCAUUGAUUCUAUCGUGCAAACACCGCGAAACUACUUAUGCCCUUCUGCUGUAAGCAAGCGUUUUCGUUUGCCCUUCAGAUGCGCAGGUCAGGGGCUGGCUCCCUUUGGUGUCAGUUGACUUGGCUGGGCGGGUCCAAUACCAACCGGAUUCACCUUGCCUUUAUGGCUAGGGGUUCUGCCGGUUGUGAGGGGUGGCGGUUAACCCACUUUGCAAUCAAUUCUGAAGAUACAUCUAUGGCUGGCUUUGCUGGCUAUAGGUUGAAUAAUCAAUGACAACUCUCAACAACGGAUAUCUUGGCUCCCGUAACGAUGAAGAACGCAGCGAAAUGCGAUACGUAGUGUGAAUUGCAGAAUUCCGUGAACCAUCGAAUCUUUGAACGCAAAUUGCGCUCGAGGCUUCGGCCAAGAGCAUGUCUGCCUCAGCGUCGGCUACUACCCUCAACCAUGUUUCCUAUUAACAGUAGGGGAUGCUGGUUGGACUUGGCCGUCCGGUGUGCCUCUAAGGUUGCCGGUCAGCUGAAAUACAUUCACGCUUUGGGUGCUGCUUUCCUUUCGAGGGGAGGCGAGUUCCGAUUUGGUAGGUGACCUUUGCCGGUUGCAUGCCUUCGUUGCCCGUUAAGCUAUCCAACUAGCGAUGGGCAGGACGCCUUUUGGCUUCGACCUGA